RNAcentral lists this ribosomal RNA (197 nucleotides) under uncultured Ruminococcus sp. Its description in RNAcentral is "partial 16S ribosomal RNA". It matches the Rfam family "Bacterial small subunit ribosomal RNA", at positions 303 to 521 of the family's 1533-position model. The record is from RNAcentral. Lineage: Bacteria; Bacillati; Bacillota; Clostridia; Eubacteriales; Oscillospiraceae.
UAUUACCGCGGCUGCUGGAGCACAUGGGGAUUCCUACGGGAGGCAGCAGUGGGGGAUAUUGCACAAUGGGGGAAACCCUGAUGCAGCGACGCCGCGUGGAGGAAGAAGGUUUUCGGAUUUAAACUCCUGUCGUUAGGACGAUAAUACGACUACAGAGGAGGAAGCUCCGGUUAACGACGUAUUACCGCGGCUGCUGG